UUGAAAACAGAAGAGAAAUGGAAAAGAAGGAGCACAUAGAAAUGGAAUGGAAAAUCCUGAGACAGUUGUCCAAGCAGAGCAGCAUGAGAGAAUUUGCACAUGAAGACGUUACCGCCUUCCACCAUUUGCCCCUGCUUUGAGCGUUCGCUACACUUCACUCGUUUCUUCGCAUUUUCUCUUCCUUGAGGAGAGAAUGCUGAUAAUUUGGUGGCUUAGAUAUCUAUGUGUGCCUUGAGGUAGAUGCUUGGAAUUAAAUUCAGUUGAUCUGUCAGGAAGAAUGUUGCAAAAAUUCUUUCAUCUUCAAAGGCCUAGAUAUGGGGGCCAUUAAAGCGAUGUCAUUAUCAGAAUUGAAUACCAACUAUAUAGAAGUAGCUAUACAGCAUUUUCCAGAUGGAAGGUGCUGCUGCCUGUGUACACAUUUUGAAGAUUUUUUUUCUGCCAAAGGAAUGUCUUGCGCCAACAGGUUUUCGCAAGUUGAACGGCUGGAUAAACUGGGACUGAAUGUCUGCUAUAUAAAAUAGGUGAGUUCCAUAAACUUGUUGUGACUGACUGAUGAAUGAUCCUCCUCAAUGGUUGGACGAGAGUUUCAAUAUCCAAUGCUUCACCAUAUUCAGUGUAUGCUGUCUUAAGCCAUCCACAAAGAUCUUACAUGAGGUAAAUGUUGUUUAGUUGCCAUUGCCGAAAAAGUAUUCCAGUUCCUAUCAACUGGCUAUGAAAAUAUAUAUGAUUGAGUAAUAUGUUGCUAUCAGCUUAUUCGCUAUCAUCCGAUAUAUUGUCUUUCAAAUUUUGUGGCCUCUAAUACUAAAAUGUAUGCGAUGGCGCAUUUAAAGUAAUUCAAUCCAGAUUACUUACUGCUCCCUAUAUAUGCUUCCAUUCUUGAUUCAGAGUGAGAUGUCAAAUGUUAUCUAGCUAGGUCAGUGUUGUCGAGUUGUUUUUAUCAAGU
This is a long non-coding RNA of Andrographis paniculata, 943 nucleotides long. RefSeq lists it as uncharacterized. The record is from RefSeq and is a predicted model, not a curated record. NCBI's taxonomy places the organism in Eukaryota, Viridiplantae, Streptophyta, Magnoliopsida, Lamiales, Acanthaceae. The transcript is spliced from 4 exons.